Molecule: long non-coding RNA, 2279 nt
Organism: Marmota monax (woodchuck)
Lineage: Eukaryota; Metazoa; Chordata; Mammalia; Rodentia; Sciuridae
Exons: 3
Source: RefSeq, a predicted model, not a curated record
UCACACCACCUGUGAGGCAGCCCUAGGCCUGGAAAUAGCUGCCAGACCAGUUCUGGAAGCCAGUUUUAAUUUGUGUCACAAGUGCAGAGAUGAGCGGCAGCCUGCCAGGUCUGCACCAAGAACCCUGGAGGAGGGUCUCCCCAGAGAAUCCACACAGAGCCCUUUUAUGAGGUUCAGGCCUCAACACCUGAUUGGAAGCAACUGCUCCUCCCACCCGACAGGUGAGUAAGCUGCUUGGGGCUCGGGGAUGGCCCAGCUCAGACUCAGGCCCUGCCCACGGGUCUCACGUCUUGCCACACGGUAUCCAACACCUGUAUCAGUUAAAACAUCUCACUUUCAAUCAAUAGAAAUGUUCUUCUUAAAUGUAUUUAUGGAUUUAUUUAUUGCAGUACUGGGAAUUAAACAGAAUGGGCCUUAGAGGAAUUGAAACACAUCAGUUGAGAUGAUUGGCUUAUUUCCUUGAUAGAUCUCACAUCAGACAACUGGGCCUGAAUUGCCGCAGGUUCUGAAAUGGGUCCAGUCCGGUGCAAAGAGAUCAGCCUCACACAAAUAACCCAGUGUGAGACCCAGAGUGCUGUCUGGGACGUUGCCAGCAGGACCUUGCUGGGCUCUAACAGGUAUUUCCUCCUAGAACCUUUUCGCCAGCCAACCCCAUGUGUCCCUGGCUCCUCACCAAAGGAAAAGGAGAAAUGCUUCCUUCCUUCUUCCUCCUGGGGCUUCUUCCCCCUGCCUGGGGCAGACCCACUGCCACUGCACCGGGGCAGAAGCUCCCGCAAGGAUGUCACUGUGCCUGGGAUCUGAGUCGCCAGCCAAUUACAAGGAUGUACUUGCUAUGACUGAGAACCGGCAGGUUGGCAGGAGGGCAGCUCGGCAGGCUGGCAGAGCAGGUUUCUGGCCGGGGACCCAGCCCCAAACCAAGUUUACAAAACAGCUGCUCCGCUGGGGCCCUGUGAUGAGCAAGCCCGUCAGGGUGGACUCCAGGUGGUGCUGAGCUGCGGUCAUCAGAAGGAAUGCCCCAAACAUUAACAAGGCCAGGAAGGCCAGAGAUCUGGUGAGCCCUGGUGACCUCGCAGCCUGUCAUCGGCCCGGCCCAGAAAUGGGCCCCUGUCUUCACUGGCUGCUCAGCCUCGUACCCAUGGGAGAAGAGCCGGCAGCACAACCACACAGCCCUGCUGCACGCCUGGGCAGCCUGCUUGGUCCUGGGAGUAAACCACCAGAUCCCAGAGAAAACCUAAGUUGACAAAGCACAGAUCCAGUCAGAGGCACCCGAAUGACAGUCACAGAAAACGCGCUCUCGCCCGAACUGCCUUUUUACUAACAUGUUGAUUGACACACACGCUUGUCCACCUUUGGAAAGUGGGUGAUGCUUUGAUCUCAUGCACAUGGAGCCACAGUAAGGCAGGGUGAUGGGCGUGCUGUCGCCUCGUGCUGAUGCUCUACGGCAGGACAACGUAGGAAUGUCCUGCUGUUGCUCUAUCUCAUGCCAGCGCAGGAACGGCCUCGCCACGUCAGAGCGCUUUCACAGCCGUCACCCAUUCACUUCUCACGGCAUCCCUGAUGGGGGCUGCAUGGCCAGCGCACCCUCAAGGGAGGACACUGAGUCUGGCAGCGAGGCCCCUAUGUGGGGAUCGGCCUGCCAGCCCUGCUCUGCCAGGCUCCCCUUUGUCACCUGCCCCUCCCAGGCAGCCUUCAGGCCCGGCCAGAGGCGUUGAUUGCUACUGCUAGAAGAGGACAUGGCGAUCUACACUUUCAGCAGGCUUCGAGGCACUUGUUACAAUGGACUCGCUGAAGAGCAGAAGCGCUGUGACUAAGGAUUCAGCUGGGACAGCAGCAUGCUGGGGCUGAUGUCCACAGGUGGAGCUGGAAGGUCACCCUGCUGCAGAACACACUUGCAGGAGACCUUCUUCUGGAGGGAUGGCACUGGCCAGUGGGUGAGAACUCGACUCCUGCCUGCACAUCACCGGGGGCUCACAGUCGCCUGCAGAGAGACUCCAAGACUGGAGCCAGGACCAUCCCCCACUCCCUGCCUGGGAUUACUUCCUGGACAGGAACCGAAUGACUGGUGCUCUGCAGCUCUUUUGGAACAUGAAGUAGCCUUGGCAACGGAAGUCAAGCAUGGCAAAACACGGCUGAAAAGGAGCCUAGUCCCUGAUGCAGGGGUGUGUCACCGUGGAUGGGGUGCUUCCGGGCUUCCUGACUGUGAGAGGCCAUCUUCUGAUCUUUUUAUGCUGCGUUCAGUUGUAGUCACAGGUGAUUCUAAUAAACACAUCUCGCCUUUU